Molecule: ribosomal RNA, 252 nt
Filed under: uncultured bacterium
Lineage: Bacteria
Description: partial 16S ribosomal RNA
Rfam family: Bacterial small subunit ribosomal RNA
Source: RNAcentral
UACGGAGGAUGCGAGCGUUAUCCGGAUUUAUUGGGUUUAAAGGGUGCGUAGGCGGGCUUUUAAGUCAGCGGUAAAAAUUCGGGGCUCAACCCCGUCCGGCCGUUGAAACUGGGGGUCUUGAGUGGGCGAGAAGAAGGCGGAAUGCGUGGUGUAGCGGUGAAAUGCAUAGAUAUCACGCAGAACCCCGAUAGCGAAGGCAGCCUUCCGGCGCCCUACUGACGCUGAGGCACGAAAGUGCGGGGAUCGAACAGG